AACUGUGGAGGAGGACAAGACAAAAGAGGAAAAGAAAGGGAGAUGAGGAGGACAAAGCAAGAGGGGAGAAGAAGAGAAGGGCACCCAGUCAACUACAAAUGGCACAAAGAGACAGAUCACAGUGCAGAAUCAGGCAGAAUGUGUCCCUAUAAGGAGCAUAUACAGUGUGUUCAGAUACACAUCCAGAAGGCCAGAAUAGCUCCAGUGAAAUGCUGCACUGACUACCAGUUCAACUUCACCCGGAAGACAGGGUAGAGAACAUCUCAGAAGAGUAUCUUAAUUGAGGAUAAUAGGUAGGAGCAAGAAGCCAAAGCAGAAGAAAACAAAAACUGACUGGAGCUAGAAAUGCCAUCUCUCUGGACUGACCCGCUCCCUUCUCCUUUUCAGUUUGCAUCUCUCUAAGUGUUUGUCCAUGUGGGCACCACCAGAACCCGGGCACAGCCUUCUCUCUCUCAGAAGAGGACUGCCCUGCCCCCUGAAGUUCCCAACACUUGAGAGGAC
This is a long non-coding RNA of Mauremys reevesii (Reeves's turtle), 501 nucleotides long. RefSeq lists it as uncharacterized. The transcript has 3 exons. NCBI's taxonomy places the organism in Eukaryota, Metazoa, Chordata, Testudines, Geoemydidae. The record is from RefSeq and is a predicted model, not a curated record.